This is a long non-coding RNA of Hordeum vulgare subsp. vulgare (domesticated barley), 209 nucleotides long. RefSeq lists it as uncharacterized. The transcript has 2 exons. Lineage: Eukaryota; Viridiplantae; Streptophyta; Magnoliopsida; Poales; Poaceae. The record is from RefSeq and is a predicted model, not a curated record.
UGCUUUACAUUUCUAUGAGCUACAACACAAAAAACCUAAAAGGUCCUUUUCAAGUUAUGUCCAUGGGAAGACUUGCAGAAGUGUUUAUCACCCUUACUGUCCUCUUUCUUUAUACCGGCCUCCUAACUGAAGGAGCAAUGGGCACCAACGUCAUCGAACACGUCCCCAUAGAAUCACUGAAGCUCAUGGGUUUGUCACAGGAAGUUGAC